Molecule: ribosomal RNA, 305 nt
Filed under: uncultured bacterium
Lineage: Bacteria
Description: bacterial SSU rRNA
Rfam family: Bacterial small subunit ribosomal RNA
Source: RNAcentral
UCCUACGGGGGGCAGCAGUGGGGAAUAUUGCACAAUGGGGGAAACCCUGAUGCAGCAACGCCGCGUGAGUGAAGAAGUCAUUCGUGAUGUAAAGCUCUAUCAGCAGGGAAGAAAAUGACGGUACCUGAGUAAGAAGCCCCGGCUAACUACGUGCCAGCAGCCGCGGUAAUACGUAGGGGGCAAGCGUUAUCCGGAUUUACUGGGUGUAAAGGGCGUGUAGCCGGGUUGACAAGUCAGAUGUGAAAUCCUGCGGCUUAACCGCAGAACUGCAUUUGAAACUGUUGAUCUUGAGUACUGGAGAGGCA